This 253-nucleotide ribosomal RNA is filed under the name uncultured bacterium. RNAcentral describes it as "partial 16S ribosomal RNA". It matches the Rfam family "Bacterial small subunit ribosomal RNA", at positions 524 to 776 of the family's 1533-position model. The record is from RNAcentral.
UACGUAGGGUGCAAGCGUUACUCGGAAUUACUGGGCGUAAAGCGUGCGCAGGCGGCUUUGCAAGACAGAUGUGAAAUCCCCGGGCUUAACCUGGGAAUGGCAUUUGGGACUGCAAGGCUGGAGUGUGGCAGAGGAGACUGGAAUUCCCGGUGUAGCAGUGAAAUGCGUAGAUAUUGGGAGGAAUACCGAUGGCGAAGGCAGGUCUCUGGGCUGACACUGACGCUCAUGCACGAAAGCGUGGGGAGCAAACAGG